ACGGAAGGCAGCAGUGGGGAAUAUUGCACAAUGGGGGAAACCCUGAUGCAGCGAUGCCGCGUGGAGGAAGAAGGUUUUCGGAUUGUAAACUCCUGUCUUAAAGGACGAUAAUGACGGUACUUUAGGAGGAAGCUCCGGCUAACUACGUGCCAGCAGCCGCGGUAAUACGUAGGGAGCGAGCGUUGUCCGGAAUUACUGGGUGUAAAGGGAGCGUAGGCGGGACUGCAAGUCAGAUGUGAAAUGCCGGGGCUUAACCCCGGAGCUGCAUUUGAAACUGUGGUUCUUGAGUGAAGUAGAGGCAAGCGGAAUUCCUGGUGUAGCGGUGAAAUGCGUAGGUAUCAGGAGGAACACCGGUGGCGAAGGCGGCUUGCUGGGCUUUUACUGACGCUGAGGCUCGAAAGCGUGGGUAGCAAACAGGAUUAGAUACCCUGGUA
Molecule: ribosomal RNA, 434 nt
Filed under: uncultured Ruminococcus sp.
Lineage: Bacteria; Bacillati; Bacillota; Clostridia; Eubacteriales; Oscillospiraceae
Description: partial 16S ribosomal RNA
Rfam family: Bacterial small subunit ribosomal RNA
Source: RNAcentral